Molecule: ribosomal RNA, 381 nt
Filed under: Staphylococcus aureus
Lineage: Bacteria; Bacillati; Bacillota; Bacilli; Caryophanales; Staphylococcaceae
Description: bacterial SSU rRNA
Rfam family: Bacterial small subunit ribosomal RNA
Source: RNAcentral
UUUUAUGGAGAGUUUGAUCCUGGCUCAGGAUGAACGCUGGCGGCGUGCCUAAUACAUGCAAGUCGAGCGAACGGACGAGAAGCUUGCUUCUCUGAUGUUAGCGGCGGACGGGUGAGUAACACGUGGAUAACCUACCUAUAAGACUGGGAUAACUUCGGGAAACCGGAGCUAAUACCGGAUAAUAUUUUGAACCGCAUGGUUCAAAAGUGAAAGACGGUCUUGCUGUCACUUAUAGAUGGAUCCGCGCUGCAUUAGCUAGUUGGUAAGGUAACGGCUUACCAAGGCAACGAUGCAUAGCCGACCUGAGAGGGUGAUCGGCCACACUGGAACUGAGACACGGUCCAGACUCCUACGGGAGGCAGCAGUAGGGAAUCUUCCGCA